AGUGAACGCUGGCGGUAGGCCUAACACAUGCAAGUCGAACGGCAGCACAGUAAGAGCUUGCUCUUACGGGUGGCGAGUGGCGGACGGGUGAGGAAUACACCGGAUCCUCCUUUUUCGUGGGGGUUACGGUAGGGAACCUUACGCAAUUACCCCUUCCACCUUCGGGGUGAAGCAGGGGAAUUUUCGACCUUUCCGGGUUUAAUUGACCGAUGUCGGAUUAGCUAGUUGGCGGGGUAAAGGCCCACCAAGGCGACGAUCCGUAGCUGGUCUGAGAGGAUGAUCAGCCACACUGGAACUGAGACACGGUCCAGACUCCUACGGGAGGCAGCAGUGGGGAAUAUUGGACAAUGGGCGCAAGCCUGAUCCAGCCAUACCGCGUGGGUGAAGAAGGCCUUCGGGUUGUAAAGCCCUUUUGUUGGGAAAGAAAAGCAGCAGGUUAAUACCCCGCUGUUCUGACGGUACCCAAAGAAUAAGCACCGGCUAACUUCGUG
This 491-nucleotide ribosomal RNA is filed under the name uncultured bacterium. RNAcentral's name for it is "partial 16S ribosomal RNA". It matches the Rfam family "Bacterial small subunit ribosomal RNA", at positions 29 to 507 of the family's 1533-position model. The record is from RNAcentral.